Molecule: ribosomal RNA, 1173 nt
Filed under: uncultured bacterium
Lineage: Bacteria
Description: bacterial SSU rRNA
Rfam family: Bacterial small subunit ribosomal RNA
Source: RNAcentral
CAGGACGAACGCUGGCGGCGUGCCUAAUACAUGCAAGUCGAACGCACUGACGUCGACAGAAGGUGCUUGCACUGGAAGUUGAUUGACGUGAGUGGCGGACGGGUGAGUAACACGUGGGUAACCUGCCCUUAAGCGGGGGAUAACAUUUGGAAACAGAUGCUAAUACCGCAUAAAAGUUGAGAUCACAUGGUCUUAAUUUGAAAGACGGCCUUUGGCUGUCACUUAAGGAUGGACCCGCGGCGUAUUAGCUAGUUGGUGAGAUAAUAGCCCACCAAGGCGAUGAUACGUAGCCGACCUGAGAGGGUAAUCGGCCACAUUGGGACUGAGACACGGCCCAAACUCCUACGGGAGGCAGCAGUAGGGAAUCUUCCACAAUGGACGAAAGUCUGAUGGAGCAACGCCGCGUGAGUGAAGAAGGUUUUCGGAUCGUAAAACUCUGUUGUUGGAGAAGAACAGGGACUAGAGUAACUGUUAGUCCUUUGACGGUAUCCAACCAGAAAGCCACGGCUAACUACGUGCCAGCAGCCGCGGUAAUACGUAGGUGGCAAGCGUUGUCCGGAUUUAUUGGGCGUAAAGCGAGCGCAGGCGGUUUCUUAAGUCUGAUGUGAAAGCCUUCGGCUUAACCGAAGAAGUGCAUCAGAUACUGGGAAACUUGAGUGCAGAAGAGGAAAGUGGAACUCCAUGUGUAGCGGUGAAAUGCGUAGAUAUAUGGAAGAACACCAGUGGCGAAGGCGGCUUUCUGGUCUGUAACUGACGCUGAGGCUCGAAAGUAUGGGGAGCGAACAGGAUUAGAUACCCUGGUAGUCCAUACCGUAAACGAUGAAUGCUAAGUGUUGGAGGGUUUCCGCCCUUCAGUGCUGCAGCUAACGCAUUAAGCAUUCCGCCUGGGGAGUACGACCGCAAGGUUGAAACUCAAAGGAAUUGACGGGGGCCCGCACAAGCGGUGGAGCAUGUGGUUUAAUUCGAAGCUACGCGAAGAACCUUACCAGGUCUUGACAUCUAGCGCCAAUCCUAGAGAUAGGACGUUCCCUUCGGGGACGCUAAGACAAGUGGUGCAUGGUUGUAGUCAGCUCGUGUCGUGAGAUGUUGGGUUAAGUCCCGCAACGAGCGCAACCCUUAUGAUUAGUUGCCAGCAUUUAAUUGGGCACUCUAAUCAGACUGCCGGUGACAAAC